RNAcentral lists this long non-coding RNA (232 nucleotides) under Callithrix jacchus (white-tufted-ear marmoset). RNAcentral describes it as "lncRNA (ENSCJAG00000084056.1)". The record is from RNAcentral. Lineage: Eukaryota; Metazoa; Chordata; Mammalia; Primates; Cebidae.
AGCAGCCCCCGCCCACACGCUGGCUGAUGCACGUGUCCGGUGCCCGCACAAUGAUGGUUUUUUAGCCAACAAGGUGCUUCGCUGUUAAGUGGUGGAGGCUCAGGGAACAGGAGCUGCACGAACGCACAGGCCCAGCGUCCCCAGGCCACCUCUGCUGAGAUUACACAGCGUGUUGCCAUCGUGAUUCGUACAUUAGCUAUUGUGAUGUAUAAUUUUAGCCUGAGAAAAAAGU